GUGCUUGCUUUGGCAGCACAUAUACUAAAAUUGGAACGAUACAGAGAAGAUUAGCAUGGCUCCUGCGCAAGGGUGACACGCAAAUUCAUGAAGCAUUCCAUAUUUUU
This 107-nucleotide small nuclear RNA is filed under the name Phocoena sinus (vaquita). Lineage: Eukaryota; Metazoa; Chordata; Mammalia; Artiodactyla; Phocoenidae. The record is from RNAcentral.